Culex pipiens (northern house mosquito) is the source of this 73-nucleotide transfer RNA. It matches the Rfam family "tRNA". Rfam says of the family: Transfer RNA (tRNA) molecules are approximately 80 nucleotides in length. Their secondary structure includes four short double-helical elements and three loops (D, anti-codon, and T loops). Further hydrogen bonds mediate the characteristic L-shaped molecular structure. tRNAs have two regions of fundamental functional importance: the anti-codon, which is responsible for specific mRNA codon recognition, and the 3' end, to which the tRNAs corresponding amino acid is attached (by aminoacyl-tRNA synthetases). tRNAs cope with the degeneracy of the genetic code in two manners: having more than one tRNA (with a specific anti-codon) for a particular amino acid; and 'wobble' base-pairing, i.e. permitting non-standard base-pairing at the 3rd anti-codon position. The record is from Rfam. NCBI's taxonomy places the organism in Eukaryota, Metazoa, Arthropoda, Insecta, Diptera, Culicidae.
GCGGCGGUGGCUGACUGGUAACGGUGUUCGCUUUGUAAGCGAAUAGUUCUGGGUUCAAUUCCCAUCUGCUCCC